ACUCCAAUUGUCCUCAAAAUUUUGUGAUAUAACGUAGUUUGAAUGCAAAAGAUUGGACAUAGCUGUAAAGUUUAACAUUUUCUUUGAAGAUAACACCACUUUGGAAUUUAGGAUUGCACAGCACACUUUUGGAUUAAUCAUUUGUAUAGCCUUCAGUAAUUAAUCCUAUUUGACAUAUGAUUCAACAAUCUGAUUAAUGAAUGAAAUUCUAUCUCUAUAAGGAUUUGAUUGCACAGGAAAAAUGUUAAACAGCUAAGAUUGGGUUCCUCCUCUCAGCUAACAGCCCAACAAUUUGGGCUUCUUAUUAGGUUUGUUUAUAACACUAGUCUGCAACUGUCAACCAACAUGUACGGUCAACAAUUCAAAGGUGUUCUUCUAAUUCAUUAUUCCUCAAUGACAACAAUCUUCAAAAGGAAAAUCAAUCUCAAUCUCAAAUCUGUCUAAGCCAAUGAAUGUGUGUCCUGAUGGAUGGGAACAAAAACCAAGG
Molecule: unclassified non-coding RNA, 487 nt
Filed under: Hevea brasiliensis (rubber tree)
Lineage: Eukaryota; Viridiplantae; Streptophyta; Magnoliopsida; Malpighiales; Euphorbiaceae
Source: RNAcentral